RNAcentral lists this unclassified non-coding RNA (253 nucleotides) under Ascomycota sp. RNAcentral describes it as "partial contains small subunit ribosomal RNA, internal transcribed spacer 1, and 5.8S ribosomal RNA". The stretch from base 1 to 47 matches the Rfam family "Eukaryotic small subunit ribosomal RNA", at positions 1785 to 1831 of the family's 1831-position model. The record is from RNAcentral. Lineage: Eukaryota; Fungi; Ascomycota.
AAAGUCGUAACAAGGUCUCCGUUGGUGAACCAGCGGAGGGAUCAUUACAAGAAGCCGAAAGGCUACUUAAAACCAUCGCGAACUCGUCCAAGUUGCUUCGGCGGCGCGGGACCCCUCGGGGGACCGCAGCGCCGCUUCCCCCCCGGGGGUUGCGGGGCGCCCGCCGGAGGUCACAAACUCUCAUGUAUUAUAGUGGAUCUCUGAGUAAAAAACAAAUAAGUUAAAACUUUCAACAACGGAUCUCUUGGUUCUG